CCUACGGGUGGCAGCAGUCGAGAAUCAUUCACAAUGGGGGAAACCCUGAUGGUGCGACGCCGCGUGGGGGAAUGAAGGUCUUCGGAUUGUAAACCCCUGUCAUGUGGGAGCAAAUUAAAAAGAUAGUACCACAAGAGGAAGAGACGGCUAACUCUGUGCCAGCAGCCGCGGUAAUACAGAGGUCCCAAGCGUUGUUCGGAAUCACUGGGCGUAAAGGGUGCGUAGGCUGUUUCGUAAGUCGUGUGUGAAAGGCGCGGGCUCAACCCGCGGACGGCACAUGAUACUGGGGGACUAGAGUAAUGGAGGGGGAAGCGGAAUUCUCGGUGUAGCAGUGAAAUGCGUAGAUAUCGAGAGGAACACUCGUGGCGAAGGCGGGUUCCUGGACAUUAACUGACGCUGAGGCACGAAGGCCAGGGGAGCGAAAGGGAUUAGAUACCCCGGUAGUC
RNAcentral lists this ribosomal RNA (446 nucleotides) under uncultured bacterium. RNAcentral's name for it is "partial 16S ribosomal RNA". It matches the Rfam family "Bacterial small subunit ribosomal RNA", at positions 338 to 795 of the family's 1533-position model. The record is from RNAcentral.